GGGCGGUUGGCGCAAUGGUAGCGCGUUGGUUUUCGGUCAGAAGAUUCACCAAAGGUUGUGGGUUCGAGCCCCAUGCUGCUCG
RNAcentral lists this transfer RNA (82 nucleotides) under Diplodia corticola. RNAcentral's name for it is "Botryosphaeria corticola tRNA". It matches the Rfam family "tRNA". From Rfam's summary of the family: Transfer RNA (tRNA) molecules are approximately 80 nucleotides in length. Their secondary structure includes four short double-helical elements and three loops (D, anti-codon, and T loops). The record is from Rfam by way of RNAcentral. Lineage: Eukaryota; Fungi; Ascomycota; Dothideomycetes; Botryosphaeriales; Botryosphaeriaceae.